Molecule: long non-coding RNA, 935 nt
Organism: Gasterosteus aculeatus aculeatus (three-spined stickleback)
Lineage: Eukaryota; Metazoa; Chordata; Actinopteri; Perciformes; Gasterosteidae
Source: RefSeq, a predicted model, not a curated record
GUUAGCAACUGGGGGCUAGCCAGCUGAUAGCUAAUAUGGCUCCUAUUAACCAGCAGCUAGCUGAUGUUAGGUAGCGUUAGCGACAAGAGGCUAACCAGCGAGCUGCUGAAACGGGGAUCUGGAUCGACCUAAACUAAACUAAGCUGCCAACUGCAACAGAAGACCUAGCGUUCUUGACCCAAACGGCCUCCGAUGGACGGACCCUCACAGCGAUGACCCGGGUAUUUAACACCAAUACCAUCGGUACAGCGCUGGAGGCCUUCGGCAGACCCGCUCUCACACAGCGGACUGGACCUGCCGCUGAGGCCGGGGCGGAGAACGAAACACGGACAUCGUAAAUACUUGGCUCCCCGCUCGUGACAACGAGAUGAAGGAGGAGCUGCAGCCGAAGAUUUGAACUCACCAACCGUUAAAAGCCGAACUAAGCCGAGAAAUGCCGAGGGGGGUAGACGGUUGGGACGGAGAUCAACGACUGACCAACGGGAAGAGCCGAAGCUGCGGAUGCGCCUCCUGCUGAUGGAAUGUCGUUAGUUCACCUCUAGGGGUCCCUGAUACAUCACCAAAGGAAAGAUGUGCUCUUUUCUUACCUAUACAUCUAUGACUGUAGCUGUCUCUUUAUUUGUAUCUAAUUAUGGAAGCGAAAGGCCCCAAGUCAAACGCUUCAUCUGGAAUAAUAAAAAAUAAAGGAUAAAUUAAUGGGCACUGUUGAAGCCUAGCACACUGUCAAGCUUUAACGGGCCCUGUUAAAGCUCAGCACACUUUUAAGACCUGUGUAGGAUGUAGUUUUCUUCUUUAUUUGAGUUUAGUUUAUGCAAAUACCAGACCUUGAGUUUGUCUAUGGAGCCCAAUGUGCCCAACCCCCCAACCCUCCCAGUGAAUCAGUUAAAUGUAUGCUGCGGUAUAUUUCUAUUAAACAUUGCAUAAAUUUGCCACAA